AAAAAUCGAUUCCCUGAGUAGCGGCGAGCGAAACGGGAAGAGCCCAAACCAAUAAGCUUGCUUAUUGGGGUUGUAGGACACUCUGUACGGAGUUACAAAAGAAUUUGUUAGACGAAUAACCUGGAAAGGUUAAUCAVGAGAAGGUAAUAAUCCUGUAGUCGAAAA
RNAcentral lists this ribosomal RNA (165 nucleotides) under Staphylococcus epidermidis. RNAcentral describes it as "partial 23S ribosomal RNA". It matches the Rfam family "Bacterial large subunit ribosomal RNA", at positions 226 to 385 of the family's 2925-position model. The record is from RNAcentral. Lineage: Bacteria; Bacillati; Bacillota; Bacilli; Caryophanales; Staphylococcaceae.